AUAUGAUUUGAUAUAGCACUAUAAUAUAUCAAAACAAACAAGCUAAGCAUUCUGCCAUAAAAAUCAUCUUGAUCAGAACUCAGGUAAACUAGUAAAUGCCACCAGAAAACUCUGGUUUUAGAGUGAGAGAUUCGGAGCAAAUGAGUCUGGUUAAAUCCGAACUCGAACUCGAACUCGGCCACCGUUUACAAAUUCGGCCACGUCACCGACAAUGAAGGGCAUUGAUUGGAUUCUCAGAUGACAUCAAACAUCCCUAUGCCACCAUCGCUGUCGAAAAGUGGCCAGAAGCCGUCACACGAACCUGCGAAAAGCCAUGGCUAAAGCCGGCUUAAAUUAGUGUGAUUUCACCGGAUUUUGGUCAACUGUCAACUAUGAUUUGUUCCUCACAUCGUCCUCCUCAAAACACGACUAUCAACAGUCACCAGAAGCUGCCGUUUACCGCCGACCAAGCCGCCAAGCCCGAUCCGCCGCCAUUACUGCAUGUUAGAGCUCAUCAUCGCCAUCAUUACAUUUAACGCAAUUUAUUUCUAUCUUGGCCUUCACGUCCACCACCAAUUGUUUCUCGGUCACCAUUGUUUGAUGAGGGCAUUUUGGUAAUUUUAUACUUUAAGGGUAUUUUGGUAAUUUUAAUUUCGAGGUAAACAUUUUUUAGAUCCUUAAAGAUUAUUUAAAUUAUGAUACAACUCAUAUGUAUUUAAUUUUAUUCGUAAUAAUUG
This 716-nucleotide long non-coding RNA is filed under the name Citrus sinensis (sweet orange). RNAcentral describes it as "long non-coding RNA (CSIN_LNC002228)". Lineage: Eukaryota; Viridiplantae; Streptophyta; Magnoliopsida; Sapindales; Rutaceae. The record is from RNAcentral.